GAUGAAGAACGCAGCGAAAUGCGAUAAGUAAUGUGAAUUGCAGAAUUCAGUGAAUCAUCGAGUCUUUGAACGCGCAUUGCGCCCCCUGGUAUUCCGGGGGGCAUGCCUGUCCGAGCGUCAUUGCUGCCCUCAAGCACGGCUUGUGUGUUGGGCCCCCGUCCCCGGUUUCCCCCGGGGACGGGCCCGAAAGGCAGCGGCGGCACCGCGUCCGGUCCUCGAGCGUAUGGGGCUUUGUCACCCGCUCUGUAGGCCCGGCCGGCGCCAGCCGACACCCAACUUUAUUUCUAAGGUUGACCUCGGAUCAGGUAGGGAUACCCGCUGAACUUAAGCAUAUCAAUAAGCGGAGGA
RNAcentral lists this unclassified non-coding RNA (348 nucleotides) under soil metagenome. RNAcentral's name for it is "partial contains 5.8S ribosomal RNA, internal transcribed spacer 2, and large subunit ribosomal RNA". The stretch from base 1 to 120 matches the Rfam family "5.8S ribosomal RNA", at positions 35 to 154 of the family's 154-position model. The record is from RNAcentral.